Molecule: long non-coding RNA, 1362 nt
Filed under: Oncorhynchus mykiss (rainbow trout)
Lineage: Eukaryota; Metazoa; Chordata; Actinopteri; Salmoniformes; Salmonidae
Description: lncRNA (ENSOMYG00000067586.1)
Source: RNAcentral
AUGAGCCCGUCCUCUUAUAGCUCCUCCCACCAGCCUCCACUGCUUUCUACUGUACCUUUUAUUUUGUGUCUUUCACUCUCUCUCCACCCUCCCUUUCCAUCUUUCACUCUCUCCACCCUCCCUUUCCAUCUUUCACUCUCUCUCCAUCCUCCCUUUCCAUCUUUCACUCCCUCUCUCUCCAUCCUCCCUUUCCAUCUUUCACUCCCUCUCCUUCCUCCCUUUCCAUCUUUCACUCCCUCCCUCUCCAUCCUCCCUUUCCAUCUUUCACUCCCUCCCUCUCCAUCCUCCCUCUCAGUCUUUCACUCCCUCUCUCUCCAUCCUCCCUUUCCAUCUUUCACUCCCUCCCUCUCCAUCCUCCCUCUCAGUCUUUCACUCCCUCUCUCUCCAUCCUCCCUCUCAGUCUUUCACUCCCUCUCCUUCCUCCCUUUCCAUCUUUCACUCCCUCCCUCUCCAUCCUCCCUUUCCAUCUUUCACUCCCUCCCUCUCCAUCCUCCCUCUCAGUCUUUCACUCCCUCUCUCUCAUCCUCCCUUUCCAUCUUUCACUCCCUCCCUCUCCAUCCUCCCUCUCAGUCUUUCACUCCCUCUCUCUCCAUCCUCCCUCUCAGUCUUUCACUCCCUCUCUCUCCAUCCUCCCUCUCCAUCUUUCACUCCCUCCCUCUCCAUCCUCCCUCUCAGUCUUUCACUCCCUCUCUCUCCAUCCUCCCUUUCUAUCUUUCACUCCCUCUCUCUCCAUCCUCCCUUUCCAUCUUUCACUCACCCCCUCUCCAUCCUCCCUCUCAGUCUUUCACUCCCUCUCUCUCCAUCCUCCCUUUCCAUCUUUCACUCACUCCCUCUCCAUCCUCCCUCCCAGUCUUUCACUCCCUCUCCACCCUCCCUCUCCGUCUUUCACUCCCUCGCUCUCUAUCCUCCCUCUGUCGUUCACUCCCUCUCCACCCUCCCUCUCAGUCUUUCACUCCCUCUCCACCCUCCCUCUCCGUCUUUCACUCCCUCUCUCUCCAUCCUCCCUCUGUCGUUCACUCCCUCUCCACCCUCCCUCUCAGUCUUUCACUCCCUCUCCACCCUCCCUCUCAGUCUUUCACUCCCUCUCCAUCCUCCCUCUCAUUCUUUCACUCCCUCUCCACCCUCCCUCUCAGUCUUUCACUCCCUCUCCAUCCUCCCUCUCAGUCUUUCACUCCCUCUCCAUCCUCCCUCUGUCUUUCACUCCCUCCCUCUCCAUCCUCCCUCUCAGUCUUUCACUCCCUCUCCAUCCUCCCUCUCAGUCUUUCACUCCCUCUCCUUCCUCCCUUUUCUACUCUUUCUCUUUCUCAAUUUCUGAUAGACAGGUUGAGUUACUGGAUACUAGUGUCAGUAUCUAAGACCUGA